GCCAGGUGUGGUGGCGCAUGCCUGUAAUCCCAGCUACUUGGGAGGCUGAGGCAGGAGAAUCUCUUGAAUUCAGGAGGCGUGGAGGUUCAGUGAGCUGAGAUUGCACCACUGUACUCCAGCCUGGGUGACAAAGCAAGACUCUGUCUCAA
Papio anubis (olive baboon) is the source of this 149-nucleotide unclassified non-coding RNA. It matches the Rfam family "Metazoan signal recognition particle RNA". From Rfam's summary of the family: The signal recognition particle (SRP) is a universally conserved ribonucleoprotein. NCBI's taxonomy places the organism in Eukaryota, Metazoa, Chordata, Mammalia, Primates, Cercopithecidae. The record is from Ensembl.